UAGAGGUGCUAUUUCAAAAUAUUUACACAGCACAAUUGAUUUUUUUUUUUGUCAAAUGGUUCCUAUAAUUGCUUCGAAAUACUGACAAGAAGACAUAAUACUGCUGUUUUAUUUGCAAUCUAUUUACACCACAUGCUCCAUCCUUUAAAGCCACCAGCGUUGUGGCCGGCCACAUACAACCCUCACACACACUCUUGAUCUCCUGCUUUCUGAAAAGCGGUACAGAAGCAAUCAGGCCUCACAUCCAAACUGAGUAAUAGAUUCUUGCCACAAUCCACCAGACUCCUCAGCUGAAACACACACAUACACAUCAACGGCAAAAAAAAAAAACACAACUCUGUUUGCACACUUGUUGAUUCUAAUGUUUACAUCCAACUAAGUGUUUACAUGUACAUGUAUUUAUUUUUGUUUUUUAUAUGGACAAUCCAUGUGCACAAGCUUCUGUACCGUACUGGUGGGUGCUAAAGUGUCACAAUUACUGUGUCUGUCCUUGUCUCAUGUUGGCUUUUGUUUGUUUGUUGCACUGAAUGUUGCACACGUGCACUUUGUGUUGUUAGUUUAGAGUUCUGUGUAGUUCCUUGUUCCUUUUGUUAAUUUAUGUUGUCUGAUGUAGCACCUUGGUCCUGUGGAAACGUUUUGUCUGACAAAAAAGGCUCCUUGACUUGACUGAUUCACUAAUCUAAUGUAUUCAACAGGAUGCUGGAAAUCUAUUAUCGGUCUGUUGUGGCAAUUGUCCUUUAAAGUGCUGUGGUCUGCUGGGGGAGCAGCAUUAGUGCCAGGGAUGCAGGCAAGAUCAAUAAAAUCAUCCGCAAGGCCGAAUACAUAAUUGGACACAAACUGGACAGAAUGGAGACAGUGAGAAACAGCAGGUCACCGAACAAACUCCUGUCAAUCGUGAAAAAUCAAUCCCACUCUCUACAUGAUCCCAGAGGCCGCGGAGUUCAUUCUCCAAAAGGAUGAUUCAGCUUUGCUGUCACAGAGAACUGUUCAGGAAAUCAUUCCUACUGUAUGCCAUCGCACUGUACAAUGAAUCACCUCUAUGUAGCAGAUCAUAAUAGCAACUACUAUACAUAUCCGAUUAUUCAGUGACUUUACACACACAUACACUGACAAUUUGCACAUUUCAUUUCUUCUUCUUUUCUUUCUAUUUGAAUUGCCAGUUUGCACUCUUUAUGUUGCAUCAUCUGCAAUAUUGUGUUUAUGUAUUUAAGUUACAAUUAUUUGGUUACAUUCUGUUUUUCUUCCCUCCCCCACUACUGUCUGUCUGGGGUACAUGCUGCUGCUGUAACGCAGUACUACAGUACUGUAUAUCCAAGUCUAAUCCUUAGCCAGACGCCUGCUCCAGGCCACGUGAGGGCGCUAUAUAGCAUAUUUCACUCCACCAUUGUAGACUGAAAGGACAGGAGAAGAAGGGCGGUAGUAAAUACGGUCUAUUGUUGUUAGUAAGUUUGCUGCUUAUUUCCAGCGUGUUUCUGCGCGUCACUGUGUGAACCUCAGCAUGACGAACCUGCAGUCCCUGAGCAUUUUUCUGACCGAACGCUUAAUGCUGGCAGCGCAGGAGAUUUUCAAGGCUGUGGAAGUGACCGUUACUGAAUACCACGACGAAAUCUCCCGCUCCAGACAAGAAAACGAGCUUCUGAAAAGCAGACUGCUGGAGGCAGGGAUCCAGGUUUAUCCAGAAUUACAGCCCGGCCUGUCUGUCUUCCAUGGAGAACCCUGUGCUGAAUCAGAGCGAGAAGAUCCAGGGGAGAAGGUUCUGGUGAAGCAAGAGCCCAGUGGUUCAAAAGAGGAGCCUCGAGUUCCUGCUCAUCCUCCUUCUCAAACAAGUGUGCCUGAGGAACCCGUUUCCCCACGUGCAUGUCUAGAAGAUGAACAGAGAGUUGAAGAAAUGCUCCAUCCACAGAUGACUGACAACCGUGAGAGUCCUUUACUCCAGGCUCAUCAGUGUAUGCAGAUUAAAGAAGAAACCAAUGAAUCGAAAUCUGGUUUGGGAGCAGAGAUUUUCUGCAUGUCACAGAGCGGCACGUCUGAUGAUCCGAGCAGUGCUAUUGCUUCCAGUCAUGUCAGCGGGCUUGAUACAGGAUUAGAUGAACUUUCAAUGCAUAAUGCCGCUGAGCUUCCAUUAUCAAGCAGAGUGAACACGGGUCAGCCUAAAGGAUGUGUUAAUUAUGAUCCAGCAGCACAGGGUAAAGAACUCCAAAGGAGAGAAAGAAUGUACAACAUUGUAAAAUUCUCAGGAACAGAAACUGCUGUGGUUGUGCCAUCUGAAUGGUGUACUGCUGGAGAGACAGUCUGGCCAAAUUAUAAAACGGACAAAUGUAUGGAAAGGGCAGUUGAACAGCGAGAAACACCUGGGGAAGACUGGGACCGCUAUAACUGCACUCUACUAAAGACCUAUGACAACUAUUCAGAAGCACAUCAGGCUUUGGAAUCCUUACGCUGCAACACGUCUGAUGAGCAGUCGGGUAAAAAGGAGGAGGUGAACGCGAAACCCAAGCCAAUUCUUUAUCUUGGAAAAUCUGAUGGUGAUCAACAGAAAGAGUCAAGGAACCCUCUGUUAGUUAUAUCCUCUCCUGUAAUAAACACUAGCAGUUGGGAGGGUCACCUUCCUCUCCAUCCAACUUACAGAGUAACGACUGGAACUGGACCGAUUCUAGGCACUGGUGAUCAGCUCCAUGUGUUGGCACUCUUGGAGCAGGUUAAGCAUGAACAAACCCAAAUAGUGGGGAUGCUGAAUGGCCUGAGCACUAAAAUGCAUGCAAACACAGAACCCCAGGGCUUUUUUGCCACCCCUGAAGACUUGAAAUUCCCACUAGAUACCACUGAGGAGGUGGAACAUUUUGAAGCUUGGCUUGCUGAAGAGACAAAUGCUGGAUCCAAAAAUAACUUGAUACAAAUUUUAUCAGUGCUGGGAGGGCAAGAUGUCAAGAAGGUGACCUGGAACAUCUUGGCUCACAUUUUCAGCGAAAAUGUUAGCAAACAAAUUAGCUGGAAAGGGGCCAACCAAAAGUUCAAAUUCAGUGGAAUGAACGCAAAGGAGCUUCUUAUCCGAGCUGUGCAAAACUGCAAAGUUUGCAGCAGUGCUACUGAGGACGAGAUCAGCAAGCAUGCCAUUCUGUGGUUCAGCCUUGCUUCAGAUCAUGGAAGUGGAUGCAAAAAGCAAAAGAGAACAAUGUCCGGAUUGCACCAAUUGCUAAAUGAUGCUGUACUGUCAGUGUUGCCAAGCCUCUCUCAAGAUCGAACCAAGCAACUGGUCAAGAAGCUUGUGGACCAAGGAGUUAAAGGCUUGAAUGAUUUGGUUAAUGUGAAGGAAGAUGACAUAGUGGAGUUUAUACGACCUGUCCAACGCAGAAAACUUCUUAGUGCCUGGAAAGAACAAGAAAAUCAAAACAACACUGUGGUUCUGCAGCCUGUUGAUGUUUUCCCCUUGGUUGCCCCUAAAACCAUUUCUACUUAUGGUUCACCUAUAUCAAGCUCCCCAAGCACAUCGGCAUCGGAAUCAACCACUGGGUCAUAUUUAUGGCCUGAACAUUUCCAGGUUCCCUGGAACUUAAUGCCAGUAGGUAUUCAAAAUGCUAUUGCGAACGGCCAGAGACCUUCCCCAGCUGACAGACGACAAAUGAUUCGAAUCCUUGCUGAUGAAAUGAGAAAAUACGAUGCUAACCCCACCAGAUCACAGUGCCUUACUAUUACUCGCCAAAUCGUCAGGCAGUAUCCAAAGACUUUUGCUGAUAUGAUGGGUGGCAAACAGGUUGGUGGUGGAUAUGAAUCUUUACUUUCACAGCUGAAAGUGCGCAUAGAGAACCUGAAUCGAAAAAGUACACUAAGCUAUCAUCGGAUUCGAAGUAACAACACUGGAACUUGUAGAAAACGAAGUUCCAUUGACUCAUAUGGUUGUACAAGAUGGCAGCCUGAUUUUCCUUCUGGUGAAAGCUUUGACAGUCUUGAAGUGAAGCGUCAGAGGAUGGAGGAUAUCUAUAAUCAGGAGGGGAUCUCUGGAGCAGAGAGAGGAGGUGUGCAUGCUCAUGGAGGGGACCUAUUUCCUCCAGCGUCACAUGAUUAACGCAAUGCCAUCCCCUACAAUUGCAGAUUUAAGAACCAAAUGGCCGUAUCUCUUCACGCAGAGGCAUAUAUAUGCUCAUUUUGAGCUGCUGACUGACAAAAACGUGCUCACACUUUUUGAAUCGUCAAUCCAGGAGUGUGGACAAAUCAUUAUUCAGUUUUUUAAAAGCAAGCCAACCAACAACGAUGUUAGGCUCAUACUUUCCAGAGCUGAAGAUGAUGUAGCUGCCAUGGUAAUACUGCUGCUCCUUGCACACUUUAAGGAGACGUUAGAUGGGGUGAUACUUCAAGCAGAUGAAUUUGCAACUCCAUCUGAUGUCGAGGGAUCUCUCAAUCUGCCAGAGAGUCCACGACUCAUAAUUCUUGGUCAAGCUCUAAGCAACCAGCGGUGGAUGCUGAGCAUGGAAGGUCAGGUUGUGUGUGAAGGAGAACAACCCAACUUUGUGUCUGGCCUUGCAGCCUUGUUUGCCUCAUUCUACAAUUUCAACCUGCAGUAUCAGGAAGAGGCAGCCUGCACCCUUGAGUUUGUUCAAAGGCGCUUUAUUGACAUCAACCCUGAACGUGGUUCAAAAACCAAGAAGGGUAAAGUGACUUCCAAGAAGACUGGCAAGGUUGUGCAAAAAAAGAACUGUACUGUGAACCCACAUGUUUCCUCGCUUUUGCGAAACCUAAUGGACUUUGGAUGGGAUUCUUCUUAGAUUUUGCAAAGUUGUUGUUUUUUGUGUUGCACCAUGACUCUGUUGCUAGUUUACCGGUGGACCAUCUUUUGACCAUAUCGGUAGUUAUUAACCACUGUGUACCCAGAACACCCUACAAGACCUGCCAUCUAAAGAGGCUCAGACCCAGUCAUCUAGACAGCUUGGCCCUUGUCAUAAUUGCUUAGAUUUUCAGGAUUGCCCAUAUUUUCUGCUUCUAUCAUUGAGAACUGUUUACUUGUUGCUAAUGAGCUCCUUUAGAGCAGGUCAGAGUCAGCAGAGUCAAGUGCUACUGUACUGUAAUGACAUAAUCAAUGUUAUUUACUUCAACUGUCAGUAAUUUGAACACUAUGCUGAUUGGUGUAAGAUUACUAUUUUGUUGAUUGUUAACUGUUACAUUUUUGAAUUUUGCUUUAAAAAAAACCUAAAUGUUUUAAA
Molecule: RNA transcript, 5195 nt
Organism: Silurus meridionalis
Lineage: Eukaryota; Metazoa; Chordata; Actinopteri; Siluriformes; Siluridae
Exons: 14
Source: RefSeq, a predicted model, not a curated record